Labrus bergylta (ballan wrasse) is the source of this 537-nucleotide non-coding RNA. Lineage: Eukaryota; Metazoa; Chordata; Actinopteri; Labriformes; Labridae. The record is from RefSeq and is a predicted model, not a curated record.
UUAACCAACAGGUGUGCAUGCUGGGAAAACAACAGCUUACUAUGGUAGCUGAGGACCCUCACGGAAAUUUCUUAAGUUCAGUUAAAAACUUUCGCCUAAAGACCCCAGCGAGGUUUCUUGUGGGUUUUCUGCUGUUCAAGACUCAAGACUGUGUCCGUCGAGAAGGCUUGUUGUCAUUCUGCUAAAAUGUUUGGAGACGUCGACGUCCGCAGUGGGGCAAAGAAGCUGAGUGUGUAUUAUGACAAUACAGCUGGAGGAGGAAUUACCAACAGGAAAGGACUCUUCAUCAGCCCAGGAGUAUUCGCAAACAUGGCAGUGAAACCUAUCAAGCUCCAAGCUUGCCAAACAACAGCAGGUGGCUGCUAAAGAAUCAUCUGAUGCCCUACUUAAUCAUCCUGUUACACAUGGGAAAUAAUAUCAAGAACGAUUUGUAAACGGUAAUAUUGCAUUCAUACUGAUUACAAAUGACCUAGUGCAAUGUCAAAGGUGUUGGUUGUUGUGGCAGUAACAGAAAAAAUAAAAACUAUUGCCCAUCUA